RNAcentral lists this long non-coding RNA (1381 nucleotides) under Nicotiana tabacum (common tobacco). Its description in RNAcentral is "long non-coding RNA (NTAB_LNC008737)". Lineage: Eukaryota; Viridiplantae; Streptophyta; Magnoliopsida; Solanales; Solanaceae. The record is from RNAcentral.
CAUCACUUAACUGUUUUUUAACCUUAAUGCUUAUCAACACACUUUGUGUCAACUAAGCCAAACGGGCUCCAGGUUUCCUCCAUUUUGUUUGCAUAAUAAACUUUCGGAUUUUACAUUGCUUCUCAGCGAUCUCUUCAUCUUCCUCAAAUUGCUUCUAUCUACAGGUAUGUUUUUAAUCAAUUUUGCACCUGUUUUUUGCUUUGCAUCUGAUAAGUUGUCAGUUACCAAAUCUAAACAGUGCACUCCUGCACUUUAUUGUAUUCCAAAUUCGGCAGAAUUCACACUUUCCUUUGAUUCCAAAUUUGAUCCAUUCUACAGAGGCAAAAUCCAUCAUUAUUUGCCAAUAGAACAAAAUUCCCACUUUCUGCCGUCCCAUUCCAACGUCGACUUCAAAAGGGAUAUUUUGCCCAUUUUUUGGUUAUUUGUUUUCGUUCCUUCUAACCAAAUGGCUCAGUUCUUUCAAGGAAUUCAGAAGUGGGUUGGGGAAUUCUUCUUAAAUAGUAUUCAUGUACUUGAUUCAGUGCGUUAUCUGGACUGAAUCCUUGAUCCAAAUGGCUCAGUUCUGGAAUUUGCUCUUUCACUUAAUUUCAGCCCCCAUGCAAAAUUUUGGGUUGAGAUCAAUUCUCGAUCUCAAUCCGCUGAUGAUACUGAUGUGGGAAAAUUUUGAAGUUCAGUGGCUGUUGUAGGUUCUCCCCUCCCCCCCCCCCCCAUUUCUUCUCUGUUGCUCCUCACAUCUUGUUUCCCUUCUUUUAAUUUUUGCCAUAUCUUAAAUUUUCCCUAUUAAUGUUGUAGGUUGCCCCUAUUUUAGGUUCUGUUCACAAAUUUUAAUUUUACAGCUCGAUGGUGUGUGUUAAAUCGAGCGAUAAAAAGCAUGUUUGAUCUCGAAGCGUGCUGAAUUUUGGAUUUGGGUUUUCUCGGUUCUACUUUGCAAUCACAUACUUCUCGACUUUGCAAUUUUCUGGCUGGUGUAUACGCUAAAUUGUAUAGGUCUUAAUUUAAGGUUUUUAUUUAUGAAAUUAUUUGGGCGGCGCUAUCUUUCCCUAACUGAUAGGGACAAUAUGAUCAAACUGGUUGUUGUUUAAUCAUAUCGUGCAUGACUGCUUCUAACUCUUAGGUUGUUCUAAUUUUUCAUUUUUCUCCUCUGUUUUGGUUGGAGUUAUCUAUUACUAAUAGUAUUUUCCCCCGAUUUUUUCUCUUUGUUAUUGCAGUUCUUGCGAUCCGUUGUGAUUGUCGUGUAUCGUGUUAUUCGGUAGCGCCGGAAGGUAAAUUUUCUGACCUCUAAUCAUUUAUGUAUAGGUAUUGUAAGUUUUUGCAUCGAUUCUUUACUUAGUAUAAACAUGCAUGCAUAUUAGCCAAUGUUGAACAUACACUCAGUAAUGUC